GAAAUAAGCACAUCUUGGACGACGACUGUGAGCAUCUUCAACUGCUACUAAGUUAGCCUGUAUCUGUGAUAAUUCCUUUUUUGACGUUGCAGCUUCCUUCUUGGCUCUUAGUGUUUGCCUAAUGCGUCUACGUUUGGCUUUUGUAGCCUUUGGAGAUAGAAUGUACUCAGACUCCAAAAUACUCAUUACAGAGGAAGAAGAGAUGCUUAUGCCCUCAUGCUUUUUUAGAAGCUCUGUAUAGUGUUCAAAGUUAGCCUCGUAGUAUUUAGUUCUGUAUAGAUCAAGAACCUGACUUCUGAUAUCAGGGUGGAUGGUGGUAACCGGCUUCUUACCUCUGUUACCAUGAAUAAAGAAUGCUUUACCAUCUUUAAUAUAGCCUUGUAUCAUACGGUUUAUAUGCCUCUUGGUGCAUCCUAGGAUAAGAGCAGCUCUAUCCUUAUUAGCUGUAUCUGGGUGAUCUACCAGACCUUUAAUAACCUCGUACUUUCUUUGUUCAUCCAUUGAUAAAAUAACCUUUCUGAUAAGUCAGUCCCUCCUAGUGUUAGAAUAUACAAAAUAGUAUUCUACCAUAAGUGGGACAUUUUUAUUUGUGGUAUAAUGGGACUUUAUCAUAUAUGGCUUAUAUUUUUUGAGUUUUUUUGAAAAAGUCGCUUGACUUUUGAGAUAUGAAAAAGUAUAAUUAGUACACUGCUUUUGCAGGGAACUUAAUUCGAACAUCAUAAUAACUUAAAAAUAAUUUAAAUUGUUGUUGACAAGAUGUUGAAUUGAUGGUAUUAUAUCUGAGUUGCUUGAAAAGAGCAAAAAGAGCUCUAAAUAAUCUGAAAAAACUUUUAAAAAGUUAUUGACAAGAUAAAAUGAGCUUGAUAUAAUAGCUAAGCUGUUUCAAACAGCAAAGCAAACGAACCUUGAUAAUUUAAGAUUAAACAGUACACACAACCCUGAAAAU
RNAcentral lists this ribosomal RNA (946 nucleotides) under Lachnoanaerobaculum sp. OBRC5-5. Its description in RNAcentral is "partial 23S ribosomal RNA". Lineage: Bacteria; Bacillati; Bacillota; Clostridia; Lachnospirales; Lachnospiraceae. The record is from RNAcentral.